GAUGAAGAACGUAGCGAAAUGCGAUAAGUAAUGUGAAUUGCAGAAUUCGGUGAAUCAUCGAAUCUUUGAACGCACAUUGCGCCCGCCAGUAUUCUGGCGGGCAUGCCUGUUCGAGCGUCAUUUCAACCAUCAAGCCCCAGGCUUGUGUUGGGGACCUGCGGCUGCCGCAGGCCCUGAAAACCAGUGGCGGGCUCGCUGUCACACCGGGCGUAGUAGAUUUUAUCUCGCUCAGGGCGUGCUGCGGGUUCCGGCCGUUAAAAAGCCUUUUUUACCCAAGGUUGACCUCGGAUCAGGUAGGAAGACCCGCUGAACUUAAGCAUAUCAAUAAGCGGAGGA
This 336-nucleotide unclassified non-coding RNA is filed under the name soil metagenome. RNAcentral describes it as "partial contains 5.8S ribosomal RNA, internal transcribed spacer 2, and large subunit ribosomal RNA". The stretch from base 1 to 120 matches the Rfam family "5.8S ribosomal RNA", at positions 35 to 154 of the family's 154-position model. The record is from RNAcentral.